Molecule: long non-coding RNA, 872 nt
Organism: Aedes aegypti (yellow fever mosquito)
Lineage: Eukaryota; Metazoa; Arthropoda; Insecta; Diptera; Culicidae
Exons: 2
Source: RefSeq, a predicted model, not a curated record
AUUUUCUUUUCUUCGAAGAAAAUACGCGCCGGAAUUCGCCUACAGGCUUCGUAAAAUGGCUUAGAACGACCGUACACACGGUGGUUUGUGAUUACCCUUUAAAGAGUAAAAAAAUACUCAUUUUCAAAUAGCAUAGAUAUCUGUCAUAAAAAGGGUAAAUUCAGGAUUCCAAAACGGGUAAAUAAACACCCAUUAUUGUGAAGCCCAUGCAGAUUAAAAAUGCGUGUUUUUUUACCCAUUUAUGGGUGAAAAAAAUAGUUGGUCAUCAAUUCAUAGCAUGAAGCUGGUGUUAUUCGUUGUAAAAGUAUUUUGUUUAAAUUGUUCUGGUUUAACUUUUAGUAUAUUUGUUUAUACGGCAUUCAAAAAAGCGGUAAGUUUUACAGCAUUGUCGACUUGAAUUUGUAUUGAUCGCAAAGCAUUAUUAUAUUACAGAUUUGUCUAUUGUUUCUGUAGGCUGCAGUCGAUAUCUGGUUCCAGCAAGUAUUGGCAUAGAGGAGCAAUAGCAUGAGGGAAAACGAAAUAAAUUAAGUAUUAAAUUGGAUAAGUAUGUCAAAUACUAUAGUACAAACGAUUGUUUUCGAUCGUUUCAUUUCAAAGAUUCCGAUUUCAGUUGAGGUUAUAAUUAUUUAUUAUCAUCAUCCACAAAAUGGGUAAAUUUUUACCCUUUUUCGGCUGCGAGCGCGGUUUGCAAAGCGGGUUGUCUCGUUGUUCCUGCCACCUUGCCUGUAGCUGACAUGUCGCUGGUCGAAAGGAAGUAGCUGUUGGUGCAGAAACAAAAUAUCUUUAUAUAUUAAUACAUUUAUCAAGCGUAUUGUAUUAAUACAAUUAAUUGUGUUAAUAAAAACUAUUAUUUCGAUUUCUAUAUUUAUUUA